RNAcentral lists this long non-coding RNA (658 nucleotides) under Citrus sinensis (sweet orange). RNAcentral describes it as "long non-coding RNA (CSIN_LNC004871)". Lineage: Eukaryota; Viridiplantae; Streptophyta; Magnoliopsida; Sapindales; Rutaceae. The record is from RNAcentral.
AUCCACUUUCCAUUGUGCUUGUUGGAGUCGGUGAUGGACCUUGGGAAGACAUGCAGAAAUUUGAUGACAAGAUCCCUGCACGUGAAUUUGAUAAUUUUCAGGUAUAUCAUUGGCAGCAUACAGCUAAGUUUGAAUUUCAAUGGAUUUAUAAUAGAGUUUAGAAUGUAUAUUCUACUUCUUGUUGCAGUUUGUUAAUUUUACCGCCAUUAUGUCAAAAAAUGCAACUCCAUCUGAGAAAGAAACAGCUUUUGCUCUUGCCGCUCUCAUGGAGAUACCUAUUCAAUACAAAGCUGCAGUAGAACUUGGUAUUAUGGGGUAGGGACACUAAACAUUUUAUGUUCUUGAUAAAAUUGCGUUUUGCAAAUCCUACGUUGAUACUUGAUUAGAUAAAAUAUAUGGCCCUUGAUGAAACUAGAUGAUUCUGAAGUUAUUCUGUCCUUAGAACAUUGCUUGUGACAAAUACUAAUACUGAAUAAAUAUCUAUUUUCAGUAUCCAAAGCUAUUAAAUGAUUAUAUCAUAUUAUUGAAUUGAUUUUUACCUGUUGCAUUGUAUAAAAGACGCACGACAGGGAGAGCAAAGAAAAUAGCUCCACGACCUCCUCCAGCUCCUUAUUCUCGCCGUGCCCUGCCAGAACGUCAACCAAGCCGUGGUUCAACC